RNAcentral lists this ribosomal RNA (427 nucleotides) under uncultured bacterium. RNAcentral's name for it is "bacterial SSU rRNA". It matches the Rfam family "Bacterial small subunit ribosomal RNA", at positions 355 to 774 of the family's 1533-position model. The record is from RNAcentral.
UGGGGAAUUUUGGACAAUGGACGCAAGUCUGAUCCAGCCAUGCCGCGUGCGGGAAGAAGGCCUUCGGGUUGUAAACCGCUUUUGUCAGGGAAGAAACGAGUUUCUCUAAUACAGAGACUUAAUGACGGUACCUGAAGAAUAAGCACCGGCUAACUACGUGCCAGCAGCCGCGGUAAUACGUAGGGUGCGAGCGUUAAUCGGAAUUACUGGGCGUAAAGCGUGCGCAGGCGGCUUUGCAAGACAGAUGUGAAAUCCCCGGGCUCAACCUGGGAACUGCAUUUGUGACUGCAUGGCUAGAGUACGGUAGAGGGGGAUGGAAUUCCGCGUGUAGCAGUGAAAUGCGUAGAUAUGCGGAGGAACACCGAUGGCGAAGGCAAUCCCCUGGACCUGUACUGACGCUCAUGCACGAAAGCGUGGGGAGCAAACA